Drosophila pseudoobscura is the source of this 615-nucleotide long non-coding RNA. RefSeq lists it as uncharacterized. The transcript is spliced from 3 exons. The record is from RefSeq and is a predicted model, not a curated record. NCBI's taxonomy places the organism in Eukaryota, Metazoa, Arthropoda, Insecta, Diptera, Drosophilidae.
ACCGGGUUGGACGCUCAUUUUGGAGGAACUGGCCUUGUCGGAUCUCUGGAGAAUCUUCCUUUCUCUUCAUCCUUAAGGAAAAGCCCCUGUUCGGGCUAUUUCUGUCCCGCUCCAUCUACAGUGGCGUCGCGCACAUGUCUUCCGAUCUUGUUCAGUUACAUAAAUGAGCGACAAAGCUAAUUUUACUGUAAUAUCUCUCUCUUCACUACGCUGCUGCUCUUCUCCUCUCUCAACACAUGUACAUAUAUGUGCAGUCUCCAUCCCACGGAUCAUCCAUUUGCAUCUCUAUCUGCAGCUCGCACCACCUCUUCCUGGCACCAUGCCAAUGGAUGUUGUUGGUGUUUUUCACCAUAUUCAAAUGGCUAAAAAAUCGCAUUCCACUCCACAGAAAAAACGUAACCUUUCCCAAUUUGGUAUUCACACGUCAUCACAUGAUGAUUGUCAAGGUCUUUACUCGAAAUAAAUGAAAGAAAUUCCGGAACCGAAUUCCCUUCCCCCAUGAAAACAUUUCGAUAGCGAAGUUUUAAACACCCUAUCAACUGUAUUGAUCUUGUGGUAAUAUGAUUGGAUUAUUAUGAUAGAGAUUCCACCAAGCCAAAUAUAUUCGAGCGAUCA